GUGAGUUUAUCCAAUCAUGGCUGAAAGACAAUAAUGUUGAUCAGGUGCUGCACUGGCAGUGCAUCUGUUCUCCGCUUUAAAUAGAUCCAGAGAGAGGCUUUUAAAGACUGCACAUAUUUCCCUCUGUCCCGUAGUCCAUCCUGGUGUGGCAGGAUAUUAGCUCCAUUAGCCUUGGCUCUGAGCCGAUGGAUGGAUGCGGACAGGCAGGAGAACAUGAUUCAUGCCCCAGCGAGGGGGGUCAUGGGGAAGGCCAUAAGUCACACGGGGCCUGUACAGGGCAUCUUAUCCACUCUACUCAACCAGGUGCCGAUCAAUGACAUCGAACCACUUACAGAAUCUUUUGCAGGCAAUGGGUGUCUCAAGUCUGGAACUCAUGGACAUCACCAGAGACUGGGAUUACUCCUUUGUGAUGCUUUGCCAGGCCUUUACUGCAGCUGACUUCAGUUGUUGUUUACUCUGACAGUGACACGUCUACCCCCUGGAGAGUGUUCUUCUCUUGGCAGGAUGUUGUGAAAGGGUUUUUCUUUACCAAGGAUUCUCAGAUUAUCCACCACUGUUGUCCUCCGUGGACAUCCAGGCCUUUUUCAGUUGCUGAGCUCACCUGUGGGAUCUUUUUUUCUUAGAAUGUACCAGACUGUUAAUAUGGCCACCCCUAAUGUUCCUGCUCGCUCUCUCUGAUGGAUUAGUUUUGAUUUUGAAGCCAAACAAUUGACUGUUUCACCUGCAUGGAGAAAUCCUUUGACCACAUGAUGUCGGUCGGUUCAGAGCAACAGCUUCCAAAUGUGAAUGGAAAACUUUCUUUUUUUAAAUUCCAGACCUUUACCUGCUUAAUUAAUGUAUAAAUAAUGAA
Carassius gibelio (silver crucian carp) is the source of this 850-nucleotide long non-coding RNA. RefSeq lists it as uncharacterized. The transcript is spliced from 3 exons. The record is from RefSeq and is a predicted model, not a curated record. NCBI's taxonomy places the organism in Eukaryota, Metazoa, Chordata, Actinopteri, Cypriniformes, Cyprinidae.